RNAcentral lists this ribosomal RNA (512 nucleotides) under Rutilus virgo. RNAcentral describes it as "partial 16S ribosomal RNA". It matches the Rfam family "Bacterial large subunit ribosomal RNA", at positions 1854 to 2565 of the family's 2925-position model. The record is from RNAcentral. Lineage: Eukaryota; Metazoa; Chordata; Actinopteri; Cypriniformes; Leuciscidae.
CAGCCUGCCCAGUGACUACGGGUUCAACGGCCGCGGUAUUUUGACCGUGCAAAGGUAGCGCAAUCACUUGUCUCUUAAAUAGAGACCUGUAUGAAUGGCUAGACGAGGGCUUAACUGUCUCCCCCUUCCAGUCAGUGAAAUUGAUCUAUCCGUGCAGAAGCGGGUAUAAUUAUACAAGACGAGAAGACCCUUUGGAGCUUAAGGUACAAAAUUCAACCACGUUAAAUGACUCUACAAAAAGCAAGAACCUAGUGGCCAAUGAAGUUUUACCUUCGGUUGGGGCGACCACGGAGGAAAGACAAGCCUCCGAGUGGACUGGGCUAAAUCCCCAAAGCCAAGAGAUACAUCUAUAAGCCGCAGAACAUCUGACCAAGAAUGAUCCGACUGAAAAGCCGAUCAACGAACCAAGUUACCCUAGGGAUAACAGCGCAAUCCUCUCCCAGAGUCCAUAUCGACGAGGGGGUUUACGACCUCGAUGUUGGAUCAGGACAUCCUAAUGGUGCAGCCGCUAU